RNAcentral lists this ribosomal RNA (429 nucleotides) under Gemmatimonadota bacterium. RNAcentral's name for it is "Gemmatimonadetes bacterium partial 16S ribosomal RNA". It matches the Rfam family "Bacterial small subunit ribosomal RNA", at positions 355 to 776 of the family's 1533-position model. Lineage: Bacteria; Pseudomonadati; Gemmatimonadota. The record is from RNAcentral.
UAGGGAAUCUUCGGCAAUGGACGAAAGUCUGACCGAGCAACGCCGCGUGAGUGAAGAAGGUUUUCGGAUCGUAAAACUCUGUUGUUAGAGAAGAACAAGGACGUUAGUAACUGAACGUCCCCUGACGGUAUCUAACCAGAAAGCCACGGCUAACUACGUGCCAGCAGCCGCGGUAAUACGGAGGUGGCAAGCGUUGUCCGGAUUUAUUGGGCGUAAAGCGAGCGCAGGCGGUUUCUUAAGUCUGAUGUGAAAGCCCCCGGCUCAACCGGGGAGGGUGAUUGGAAACUGGGAGACUUGAGUGCAGAAGAGGAGAGUGGAAUUCCAUGUGUAGCGGUGAAAUGAGUAAAUAUAUGGAGGAACACCAGUGGCGAAGGCGGCUCUCUGGUCUGUAACUGACGCUGAGGCUCGAAAGCGUGGGGAGCAAACAGG